RNAcentral lists this ribosomal RNA (395 nucleotides) under Pericelis cata. RNAcentral's name for it is "partial large subunit ribosomal RNA". It matches the Rfam family "Bacterial large subunit ribosomal RNA", at positions 1859 to 2573 of the family's 2925-position model. Lineage: Eukaryota; Metazoa; Platyhelminthes; Polycladida; Pericelidae. The record is from RNAcentral.
CUGCUCCAUGAUAGAAUUUUAAAUAGCUGCGGUAUUUUAACUGCACAAAGGUAGCGUAAUUAAUUGUUUCUUAAAUGGUGACUGGUUUGAAAGGUUUAAUGAGAAUUAUUUUGUUUUGAUCCUUUAUUGAACUUUCUAUCUUUAGUUAAAAAGCUAAGAUUGAUAAGAAAGACGAGAAGACCCUGUUGAGCUUGACGAUUAAGAUGAAUUAUAUCGUUUUAAUGGGGCAUUUGAAUUUAUUUCAUAUUUCUUUUAGAUCCUAUUUUAAGGAAUAAGGAUUAAGUUACCACAGGGAUAACAGGACAACGCUUAUUUAAAGCACAUAUUAAAAUAAGAAAUUGUUACCUCGAUGUUGAAUCAAAGUUUACUUUUGGGCGCAGUAGCUUAGAAAGUGG